This 467-nucleotide ribosomal RNA is filed under the name uncultured bacterium. RNAcentral's name for it is "partial 16S ribosomal RNA". It matches the Rfam family "Bacterial small subunit ribosomal RNA", at positions 28 to 506 of the family's 1533-position model. The record is from RNAcentral.
GACGAACGCUGGCGGCGUGCUUAACACAUGCAAGUCGAACGGUGAUGCUCCAGCUUGCUGGAGUGGAUCAGUGGCGAACGGGUGAGUAACACGUGAGCAACCUGCCCCAGACUCUGGAAUAAGCGCUGGAAACGGCGUCUAAUACUGGAUACGAAACUGGCCCGCAUGGGCAGGGUUUGGAAAGUUUUUCGGUUUGGGAUGGGCUCGCGGCCUAUCAGCUUGUUGGUGAGGUAAUGGCUCACCAAGGCGACGACGGGUAGCCGGCCUGAGAGGGCGACCGGCAACACGGGCCCGGCGACCCGCCCCACACCCCUCCGGGAGGCAGGAGGGGGAAUUAUCGCACAGGGCGCGAACGCUGGAGCCCGCCCCCCCGGGGGAGGGAGCGCGCCUUUCGGUUUGAAAACCUCUUUCAGCAGGAAAGAAGCAAAAGGGACGGUCCCUGCAGAAGAAGCCCCGCCUACCUCCGC